AUGAAGUCAGAUUCCCACAUAUCUGCAUUUGACUCCAAAGUGGAGUGUUUUAACGAACCAGAAGAGACCAUCCCUGGCCCUGGAGCAUACCAGGAUGACUCUUCUCUUAAUGGAAGUGUAAGGUCAGAGUCAGCAACCAGAGCCUCAGCAGCUGUUGCAACUCCCAAGGUUGUGUGUCUUGUCUUGUGUAUAAGUAAACCUGUCCUGGAGAGAAUGCUUCUUGGGCUUGCAGGGCUUUGUCAGUUGUGUUUAGUGACUGCUUUAGUGACUCUUAGGCUUCAUUCUGUAAGAAUCCACUGAUGCUCUUUGGUUUCCAACGACAGUCAAACCUACACCUUAAACUUACGUUUUGGCAUCUGAUCCAAUCUGAUUUGACCUUUUAGGCUUUGUACAAGUCGGCUGAGUUGCAGAAGUACCUAAGAGGCCAAUCUAUCUGAAAUGUGAUUUUAUUUUAGCUGGGAUGGGGCAUCCAUUGCAGUGGGAAAAGUGUCUCUGUUGCCUGCAGAGCCAGCGUAGGUGAUUGGUUUGGACUAGACAUCUGAUUUAUUUUUGCAUAGGUAAGAUUAGAUGAGAUAAUUACACUCAGCAUACCUGAGUAAUUCCUGAAAAGUAUUAUUUUCAAUUUUAUAAAAAUUGUAAGGUACUCUUAUUUUCAUAAGCUGUGUGAUCUCUGAUAUAAUUAAAAUUAAAAUAUGCAUAGGCAUUUAUGGUACUUGCAUAUUAAAACACCCUAAAUGUAGGGGCUGACAAAUAUGCUUGCCAAAACGGUAAGUUUAUGGGUUUUGUAUGGAAUGUGUGGGUUUUGCUGGAAUAUGGGAAGUGCUUGCAUAAAAUUUUACAGUGAAUAAAGCUCAGGUCACUUCAGCA
Molecule: long non-coding RNA, 867 nt
Filed under: Anser cygnoides (Swan goose)
Lineage: Eukaryota; Metazoa; Chordata; Aves; Anseriformes; Anatidae
Description: lncRNA (ENSACDG00005016716.1)
Source: RNAcentral